AUGUUGGAUGGAGAAAUGGAAGGUUCUCUUGAGCUACUAGAUCUCUGUAGCAUCAUGCAAGAGAUCUUCGUCGAGAUGAAAGCCAUUAUCCAAGAGCUGCAAGUGGCACUAAGAAAAGGAGAUGAAGCAGCUUCUCAAGCCAAGAUCCAGUCUUACAAGAAACUUUUCAAGAAGACGGCAAAGAAGGCUACUUCUGAAGGUUGCAGCAUGGUCAUGCUAUUGACUAAGGCUAGAGAGGUCUCUAUCUCUCUGCUCGAAUCCACAGUCCUCCUCUUGUCAAAGCAAAUUGAAAUGCGCAAACAGUCUCUUAUCUCCAAGGCAUUUUACAAGAUGAAGAAGCCAGUUGUUUGUGAGGAGGAGCAAUUGCAGGAGUUAGAGUGCAGCAUCAGAGAUCUUGAGAACGGAGCAGGACAUCUGUUCAGGAAAUUAGCCCAGAGCAGAGUUUCCCUCCUAAACAUUCUUAGAGAAUGA
Molecule: ribosomal RNA, 471 nt
Filed under: Triticum aestivum (bread wheat)
Lineage: Eukaryota; Viridiplantae; Streptophyta; Magnoliopsida; Poales; Poaceae
Description: partial small subunit ribosomal RNA
Source: RNAcentral